AACGAACGCUGGCGGCAUGCCUAACACAUGCAAGUCGAACGAGACCUUCGGGUCUAGUGGCGCACGGGUGCGUAACGCGUGGGAACCUGCCCUUAGGUUCGGAAUAACUCCCCGAAAGGGGUGCUAAUACCGGAUAAUGUCUUCGGACCAAAGAUUUAUCGCCUUUGGAUGGGCCCGCGUUGGAUUAGCUAGUUGGUAGGGUAAAAGCCUACCAAGGCGACGAUCCAUAGCUGGUCGGAUAGGAUGCUCAUCCACACUGGGACUGAGGCACGGCCCAGACUCCUACGCGAGGCAGGAGUGGGGAAUAUUGGACGAUGGGCGAAAGCCUGAUCCAGCCAUGCCGCGUGAGUGAUGAAGGCCUUAGGGUUGUAAAGCUCUUUUACCCGGGAUGAUAAUGACAGUACCGGGAGAAUAAGCUCCGGCUAACUCCGUG
This 433-nucleotide ribosomal RNA is filed under the name uncultured bacterium. Its description in RNAcentral is "partial 16S ribosomal RNA". It matches the Rfam family "Bacterial small subunit ribosomal RNA", at positions 29 to 507 of the family's 1533-position model. The record is from RNAcentral.